RNAcentral lists this ribosomal RNA (119 nucleotides) under Jaculus jaculus (lesser Egyptian jerboa). The record is from RNAcentral. Lineage: Eukaryota; Metazoa; Chordata; Mammalia; Rodentia; Dipodidae.
GUCUAUAUCCAUACCACCCUGAACCUAUUUGAUCACAUCUGAUCUCGGAAGCUAAGCAGGAUUGGGCCUGGUUAGUAUUUCGGUGGGAGACCACCUAGGAAUAACAGGUUCUGCAGGUU